Molecule: ribosomal RNA, 94 nt
Filed under: Lawsonia inermis (henna)
Lineage: Eukaryota; Viridiplantae; Streptophyta; Magnoliopsida; Myrtales; Lythraceae
Description: partial 28S ribosomal RNA
Source: RNAcentral
GACCCCAGGUCAGGCGGGGCCACCCGCUGAGUUUAUCAUAUCAUAUACGGGGAAGGAAUGUCGCAAAAAACGGCAGUGGUUAAUGGAUCUGUGA